RNAcentral lists this ribosomal RNA (910 nucleotides) under uncultured bacterium. RNAcentral describes it as "bacterial SSU rRNA". It matches the Rfam family "Bacterial small subunit ribosomal RNA", at positions 28 to 953 of the family's 1533-position model. The record is from RNAcentral.
GAUGAACGCUGGCGGCGUGCCUAAUACAUGCAAGUCGAACGGGGUGUUUGAGCAAUCGGACACUUAGUGGCGAACGGGUGAGUAACGCGUUGGUGACCUGCCCCAAAGCGGGGGAUAACAGCCUGAAAGGGUUGCUAAUACCGCAUAUGAUGAUGAGAGACUAGAAACUUAUCAUUAAAGGAGAAAUCCACUUUGGGAGGGGCCUGCGUCCCAUCAGCUAGUUGGUAGGGUAAAAGCCUACCAAGGCGAAGACGGGUAGGGGACCUGAGAGGGUGACCCCCCACAAUGGAACUGAAACACGGUCCAUACACCUACGGGUGGCAGCAGUAGGGGAUAUUGCACAAUGGGCGGAAGCCUGAUGCAGCAACGCCGCGUGAGUGAUGAAGGCCCUCGGGUCGUAAAACUCUUUUCAAGAGGAAGAGGAAGGACGGUACUCUUGGAAUAAGCCUCGGCUAACUACGUGCCAGCAGCCGCGGUAACACGUAGGAGGCGAGCGUUAUUCGGAUUUACUGGGCGUAAAGCGCGUGUAGGCGGCUGAUCAAGUUGGAUGUGAAAGCUCCCGGCUUAACUGGGAGAGGACGUUCAAAACUGAACAGCUUGAGUAUGAGAGAGGAAAAUGGAAUUCCGGGUGUAGUGGUGAAAUGCGUAGAUAUCCGGAGGAACACCAGUGGCGAAGGCGAUUUUCUGGCUCAAGACUGACGCUCAGACGCGAAAGCUAGGGUAGCAAACGGGAUUAGAGACCCCGGUAGUCCUAGCUGUAAACGAUGUAGACUUGGCGUUGGGGGAGUAAAAUCCUUCAGUGCCGCAGCAAACGCGAUAAGUCUACCGCCUGGGGACUACGGCCGCAAGGUUAAAACUCAAAGGAAUUGACGGGGCCCCGCACAAGCAGCGGAGCGUGUGGUUUAAUUCG